CCACCCGCCCCGCCCCCCCAAUUGCAUUUUAAAUGUUAACUGACGGGAUGUUCGUUAACAGCUCCGAGUUACUCACGUUAUUUCCUUUGUUUUUGUCUUCUGAGACCCGUUUAGUGACAAUUGCUAUCUGAAAGCAGUGUUUAAAGCCGGCUGUGUUGCUGCUAAUCGCCCGCUUUUCCAUUCUGAGUUACAAAACUGACCAAACGAGCACAACCUAGCACUGCCAAUAGGCAAAACCAAAGGAGGGCAAACCAGAAACAUUUCAGCAUUGGAUUCCACUGGCACUGAAGCCCUGUGUAGUACCAAGAGCUGCUGUUUGGGAGGGGGACCACACACCUUGUUGGAUCUUCACUGUGAGACCCCGCCGUGCCAGGCUGACUGACAAGCGUCUUAGGAAGACCAAAGGCAGACACAGAAAGGCUUUAACUUUUCACAAAGAUUUCCUUCAUUUCAUGUAUUUCCAGGUCCUCCCAUUUUCUCCUCACCUGUGGAGUUCAGACGAUUGCUAGCUCCUGAAAUCUUUGUAUUUUAAUGGUAUCUUCCUGUGUGUGAGCAACAUUGCUCAGUAGCAAGAAUCAGUACUUGUUAUUUUAACACUGCAAUUAUAGUUCUGAAAUAAUGAAGACAAAGUAUCAGUUAAAGGGCAGUUUGUAAGGAAGAUGCAUUUUCAUUUCUACAGAGUGAUUCAAUCCAACCAUUAUCACUAGAAAAAAUGUGUAGCUGUCUUACUUAGCAAGUUCAGUGAGAAAAAUGGGGUGGAAGUCCUGUGAAACCAACACCAACAUGGUCAGUGGGAUUCUGGCAAAAUUUAAAGCACUUAAUCAAAUGGCUUUUAUAUGAAAUCAGUUUCAAAAAACCUUCAUUUCCCUUCCCAUGUAGCAAAUCAGUAACUAUCUGUUCUCUGUUAAGUAUGUAAAUACUCAUCAACUCAUUGAAACAUACAUAAAGCCAGAUGGUGUGCAGAAAA
Molecule: long non-coding RNA, 967 nt
Organism: Gallus gallus (chicken)
Lineage: Eukaryota; Metazoa; Chordata; Aves; Galliformes; Phasianidae
Exons: 3
Source: RefSeq, a predicted model, not a curated record